AUUAAACACCAGAGAAUCUACAGCAGCCAGCAGCAUUAUAAACACUUCAAGAUUCAAAAUACUGGAAGAACUUUACACAGACAUACAACUUCCUGAGCUCCAGAAAUUCACAUGGGGGGAAUUUGUGACCUGAGAGAAAACAGCUUUCAAACUCUGAAGACACCAGGCACCAGCCAGGAGAUACAUCUGAGGCUGCAUGAGGGCCUUAACCGGAAUGUACGGGAUGAGGACGUGUCUAUCGACAGCCACUCAUAAGAGGGGAAGGCAGAUGGCUUUCUCACCUUCAGCAGAAACCUCCAGUAAAGCACAAGCUCUGACAGCCGCUAGGAGCACCAAGCAAGCCUCUAACAUUAUUUCAUGUCAUGCUGAGGUGAAAGCUCGGCUGAUCUGGAUGGGCAUUGCUUCUCUGAAGACUUUCCCCUUGUCACCUACCACCAAAUAACCUAGUGGCUUUAAAGAUUUAUUGAAGUCUAGAAGACACAAGCUCAGGGGAAAGCAGUAACUUUGACCUGACUCUUCUGUACCUAAGUUGGGUGGCCCUAACUUGAAGCAGUAACUGGGGCUGAAGGUGGAGUCUGGUUGUGGGCACAAAGAAAGUCAUAUUUUGUGUGAAACCUGGACCCUCCUGACCCUGAAGUGUUGAAGGCCUUCACGAACCUUCUGCUGAACUUCAGUGACUCUAAGCCAGGCGUGCUUAACGUGAGCGGGGCUUUCUCAAUAGAGGAAAUUUGCUCUUUGAUCCUCCCUGAAGAUUAAAGCAGUGUUCCUCAGCCUAUUAAAGAUAUUGUCUGAAGUCAAAAACUACUGUUUGUGAAAACUUUGUGCAGACUUUUCAACAAGCUGUUUUGCAUACUUUAGCAACGUGAUUAAUAGGAUGGAAGUAACGCUUGUGGGAAUACCUAUGCUUUCUGUUUUAAAAAAAAAAAAAAAAACAUAAUGAGAGAUGUGGAAAUAUAAUCAUUCAAAAAGUCUGAAUGAACGACCAAAACUGUAUAAUCUUUAUGCAUAUGAAAUUCUGGUUGAAUAAAUUAUUUUAAACCAGUCUAAAUGUUUUAUUU
This 1058-nucleotide long non-coding RNA is filed under the name Anser cygnoides (Swan goose). RNAcentral's name for it is "lncRNA (ENSACDG00005017132.1)". The record is from RNAcentral. Lineage: Eukaryota; Metazoa; Chordata; Aves; Anseriformes; Anatidae.